This is an RNA transcript of Brienomyrus brachyistius, 3005 nucleotides long. RefSeq lists it as uncharacterized. The record is from RefSeq and is a predicted model, not a curated record. The transcript is spliced from 2 exons. Lineage: Eukaryota; Metazoa; Chordata; Actinopteri; Osteoglossiformes; Mormyridae.
UCCAGCAGUUAUUUUUUAACAAGUGUAUAAAGUUGGCAAUAGUCCCAUCCUCGCGUAAUCAUUUUUUAAAGGUGAGAGAUGCGGCUUCGCGUCACGUGCUUGCCGCUAGACCAAUGAGAUGGCAUAACGUCGGAACGACAUGUAAACAUGGUCCAAGAUGGCAGCGCCCUUGUCGUCACUAUCGAGUAGCGAAGAGGAUUAAAUUAUUGUCAGACCUCCACCAAAAGUCAGUAAAAGGGUUUAUAACCAAUGCUAUAUGCAUCUCACGUCCAUAAAAAAAGAAGAAGCGAAGGAUUUUACACGCACACGGUGGGAUACAUUUAGAAACUGCAUCAAACGGUGGCUUGACUUGCAGGGUGAGAGUCAGAAAAUAGCAGAAACAUAUAAACAUUGUCUAGAAAUCGAGUUUGACCGUGUGCCCGAAGACGCAGGGUUUCACUCCAUUUGCUACCGGCGUUUUAUUGACAAAAAGCGCUUGGAUGCGGCCGAGAAACGAGUUUCACGGCGUCCUGAAGCUGGUGAUGAUCAUAACACAGACCAGUCUGUGUCAUCGGGAAAUAGUAUUUCGUCAACGUAUUGCCCAACAAAAAAACUUAGGUCCAGUACCGGACUGCUGAUAGCUUGUUCGGGUCCUGUACUUCCUGCUUUGUGCAUAAUUUGCAAGAAAACGGACAAGUACAUCACUGUGGCAGGCAAACGCCAGAAGGACAAUCUUUCACAAGCGGAGACGCUGUCGGCAGGUAUAAAGCACACAAGCACACAUUUGAACUUAAAGUUAUAUGCCAUAUGCUGAGAACCAUAACUAACUUUCAAAUACAUCAAUAUUUACAUUACAUGUACAUUAUAAUGUUUAUAGUGCAGUCGGUUUUUGCAUACACAUAUGCAUGAACAGUCAGAACUGUUAUGUUUUUUUAAAUACAUAUUUAUUACAGGCCAGUUGCUCAAAGCAGCUGAGAUGAAGGAAGACACUAGCAUUCUUGUGCAUAUUAAAGACAAAGACUGUGUCUCUGGAAGUAUGAUAUCACAAGUCCUGUUACAGACAGUACACCAGGUUCUUGACAAAGUCUACUGGAACAAAUACACAGACCUCAGAAGAACAGUAAGUUGUUAUAUUGCAUUUUAAAAUAAUUCAUAAUUGAUUUGAAUGAUUGCUAAUUUGAAAAGAAAUUAAUCAUUAAUCUACAUGGACAGCUUGUUACAAUAAUUCAGCAUAAUAAAAUGUCUAGUCAUUUGUGAGGGCAAAAGAAUAUUUAAAAUAAUUUAUUGUAAAUAUUUUCUUUCUGAAGAAUAAAAAAAACUCAAUUGGUUUGUCAGUUGCUUUUAGUUUGUACAUGCAUACAAUAUAUGCAUUCCAAAUAUAGAAGCCAGUGUAAUAGUUACAGAACAUAAAAUAUUUGAUGCUUUUAAUAGCAAUGAGCCAACCUAUGAUGUCAGCUACAAGAUCUUCUCUGAGAGAAUCAUCUGCCAUCGAAUAAUUGUAAACCAAGAGGUAAAAAUUUAUGGACGGGAUCAAAAGACACCAACACAAUCGAAGAAGUUUCUGUCGGAUGGGACAAACAAAGAAGCACUGGCAGAAUUCCUCUAUGUAAUGUGGCGAGACGCUGAUCUUACCAUUUUAGGUAAGGACUUACAUUUAUACAUAACACAUGGAGACCUGUGUCACUGCAUGGCUGUAACAGAGGAUUUACAAACUGUCAGUGAUGUUGAAAAUCUGACAUGUGAUCAUGAGGAAUGUGACACCAGGUUGUUUUUUCAUGCAAAACAUGCUGCACAGGAACACCAAACUGUAGUCAUCAAGAGCCCUGAUACUGAUGUGGCAGUGAUUGCAUUAAGUCUGCAGCCAGAUUUACCAUGCAGAUUGUAUUUUUUCACUGGGGUUGGCAACAAAACGAGGAAGGUGUCAUCAGCUCUCGGCAACAGUGUAUGUUUGGCACUCAUUGGGAUCCAUACCUUCUCAGGCUGUGACUCUACAAGUGCCUUUUAUGGCAAGGGGAAAAAAAGUCAUUUUCUGUUGCUUGCGAGAAAGAGGAAUACCUGACUGCAUUUAGAAAUCUGGGUAGCAGUUUUAAUUUGGACCAGUCUACCUUUGAAGUGCUUUGCAAAUAUGUCUGUCACCUAUAUGGCCAAUCAUGUGCUAAAAGUCUGAACGAUGCACGAUGCAAAGCAUUCUGCAUGGCAUCAUCAGCUUUGCCAGAAUGAUCCAUGCCUCCGACAAGUGAUGCUUUGUACCAACACUGCAAAAGGGCAAACUACCAAGCAGCCAUAAUGAGACAUUCUCUGAAAGGUAAAAUGUGUGCCCCUUCACCUGUUGGCAAUGGAUGGCACCUCGAGGAUGGAGAGUUAACAGUGACGUGGAUGACUAGAAAUCCAGCCCCUGAUAGUGUGUUGCAGGUUGUCCACUGCAGUUGCAAGCAAGGCAAAUGUGAGACUGGAAGAUGUUCCUGUAUGUCUGCAAAUCUGUCCUGUACAGAUUUAUGCCGCUGUCUCAAUUGCACAAAUGUUUUCCAGGAAACAGAGGAAAGAGCUACAUGUGAAGAUGGUUCUGAUGAAAGUGAUAAGGAUAGUAGUGAUGAGUAAAGGUGAUCUGUGUCACAGGUUACUUGGAUUUGAGCUGUAAUGAAGCUGCUGUAAAAUGUUUAAUAUUUGUCGUUAUUGAAAAAUUAGUGCAGCAGUCCAGCAUUUCAAGUCAUUUCAGCCAACUUGGACCAAAAACUGUUUUUAUCUUUAAUUUUGUGUGAUUCCUAAGUGCCUACUGAACAUUUUGAUAAAUACAACAUAACAAAAAUGUUUAAGUUUCAAUUUGUUCUUCAGUUUUAUUUGGUGCCAAUCAGUGAAGUUGAAGUGCGUUAUAAAAAAAAAUUGAAUUAUUUCAUGGUCUUCCUUCAAAAUUGAGUUGAUUAAUGCACCAAUACUUGUCUCAGAUAUGUAGCUACAUGUAUAAAUGUGGAUUUGACAUAUAUUUUGUUUUGAUUAAAUGCGUAUUAAUAAAGUUAUAGGCCAAACUA